CAGUCGCCGCGGGAAUACGAAGGGGGCUAGCGUUGUUCGGAAUUACUGGGCGUAAAGGGCGCGUAGGCGGCCAUUCAAGUUAGAUGUGAAAGCCCUGGGCUCAACCUAGGAAUUGCAUUUGAUACUGUUUGGCUUGAGUUCGGGAGAGGUGAGUAGAAUUCCCAGUGUAGAGGUGAAAUCCGUAGAUAUCGGAAGGAACACCAGUGGCGAAGGCGGCUACCUGGACUGACACUGACACUGAGGCGCGAAAGCGUGGGGAGCAAACAGGAUUAGAGACCCCAGUAGUCCCUGUCUCUUAUAC
Molecule: ribosomal RNA, 301 nt
Filed under: uncultured bacterium
Lineage: Bacteria
Description: partial 16S ribosomal RNA
Rfam family: Bacterial small subunit ribosomal RNA
Source: RNAcentral